RNAcentral lists this ribosomal RNA (977 nucleotides) under Thaneroclerus buquet. RNAcentral's name for it is "partial 16S ribosomal RNA". Lineage: Eukaryota; Metazoa; Arthropoda; Insecta; Coleoptera; Thanerocleridae. The record is from RNAcentral.
GAUUUAAUUAUUAAAAUUUUAAUUUUAAUUUUUUUAGAAAAAAUAUAUUUUAUUUUAUUAUUUAUUUAGAAAAAAUUAUUUUUAUUAUAGAAAAUUAGUAUUGUGAAAGAAAUUGAAUUUAUAUUAUAAAGAAAAAUUAUUUUUGUACCUUGUGUAUCAGGGUUAAUUAAAUAUAAAUUAAAAAUUUAAUAUUCUCGAAUUUAAAAGAGUUAUUUUAGAAUUAAUUUUAUUGUAAAAUAAAUAUUUAUAAUUCUAAGAUAGUAAUGAAAUGUUAUUCGUUUUUAAAUAUAUCUAGUUUUAAAAGAAAAAAAUUUAAUUUUUUUAUUUAAAUGAAAAUUUUAAUUAUUUAAUUUUUUUAUUUUAAAUAUAUUAUUAUUUUAGGGAUAAGCUUAAAAUAAUAUUAUUAUAAAAUAUUUAUAUAUAAAAUAAUUUAUAGGAUUAAAAUUUUUUAUUAAUAGUAAUAUGUUAUAAUUAAUUAUUUAAUAAAUAUUAUUUAUAUAUAUUUUUAAUUUAUUUAUUUUAAAAUAGUUAUUAAUUUAGAAUAAUUAGGUAUAAUGAUUAAAUUAGUAUAGGAAAUUUUAAUUUUAAAUUUUAAUUUUUAGGUUAAAAUUAGGAAUUCGGCAAAAUAUUUUUUCACCUGUUUAAUAAAAACAUGUCUUUUUGAUUAUAAUUUAAAGUCUAAUCUGCCCACUGAAAUUUUAAAUGGCCGCGGUAUUUUGACCGUGCAAAGGUAGCAUAAUCAAUAGUUUAUUAAUUGUAAACUGGAAUGAAUGAUUGGAUGAGAAAAAGACUGUCUUAUUUUAAAUUUUUUAGAAUUUUAUUUUUAAGUUAAAAAGCUUAAAUGAAAUUAAAAGACGAGAAGACCCUAUAGAGUUUAAUUUAAUAAUAAAUUUUUAUAAUUUAGAUUUGAAUUUUAAUUUUUUAUUUUAAAUUUAUUUGGGGUGAUUAAAAAAUUUAAUAAACUUUUUUUAUUUUAU